GGUUCCAAUAAGGAUGUGGACUCUUGUUCAGAGGACAUACUUUCAAAAGUUGAAGAAAUCCUCUUAAGCUGCAAAGAGAUCAAACCAGCAGACAGGGAUUAUAAGAGAACAACAAGGCCGGAACUAUGUUCAAAGUGGCUUGCUUUGUUGACAAUGGAAAAGGCGUGCUUGUCUGUUGUUGCAUUAGAGGGUAAAUUCUCCAAUCAAAAUUUUGGAUCAUGAUUCUUUAGGUCUGAUUUUAUUAGUCAAAGCAAUAAAAUCAAAUAAUAAGAUAAGUAAUAUCUUACAGCAUUACAUGGAUGAUUUUCUCAGGUUAUUAUCUCACUUGUUAUUGAUUGUUGUCAUAUUUAGAACUUUGAGUAUUUUUCUUACUUUUAAUUUAAUAAACCUAAUUUAGUAGCAAGGUUUGCCAUCACAUCAUCAGUCUGAAGUGCUAUAACAUUUUUACAGAUACAUCUGACAAGGUGUUAGAACUCGGAGGAAAUUUCAAAGAAACAUUAAGGCAGUUGGGUGGCCUUGAUGAUAUUUUUAAUGUCAUGGUGAAUUGCCAUUCAGAACUGGAGGUAAGACCUUAUUUGUGUGUAUGUAUGUUCUCUAACAGUUUAUACAAAACUAUUAAAUUGGCAUUAUUUGUUAUUUUGUUCUGCUAUGGUAAAGGAUGGUUAACUUUUGAGCCUUGUACAAUUCAUGCUCCAGUAUACUUGGAGCUGCAAUCUGAUGAAUAUUAUUUUGAGCAACAUGAAAAACAUGUUGCAAGACAAGGAUAUGUUGCAGUAAUUGCUUUGGUUGAAAUGUUUUAGAUUUCAAAUGUACUGUUGGGUUUGUGUUGGGUUUCAACUCUAGCCUACCCCAACUUGCUCGGGACUAAAAGACUUUGUUGUUGUUGUUCAUGUACUCUUACUGUGAUUACCAAUACAUUUUGAACUUUGGAGAAAUGAUGAAGUAAUCCUUUGAAGGCCUUGAAAUUUGAAUUUCCCAUCCCAUAUACUCCCAAGCUGAUGAUUAUUAACAGUCCCAUCAAAUAGUGUCAUCAAUGGGGUGUUUGGUUCGAGGAAUCACCUUAUCCUUGAUGGGGUGGUCCAUCAUCAGGUGAUCCUAUAUGAAUUUGGUGGGAUGAUCUCAUUCUCCAUACAUAUACUAAUUGUGUGCAUAUGAGGAAUGUGAUGAUGAUAGAUCACCCUAUUCCAAUACUUAAACCAAACAUUAAUUUGAGGUGUGAGAUGAUGAUGGACCACCUCUUUACAAACCGAAUAAAACAUAGAUGUCUUUUUGAGUUUUUGUUCUGUUCAGUAUUUUCUUUUUUUAUCUUUCUAGACAUCUUGCUUGCACACUACCUCUUAAUUAAGACCCACCCAAAUAUUUUUCUUUACCUGAAAAGAAAGAAACGCAGCAUUCUGGAAUAUGUCUAGGCCUAGGGCUACUUUUUAGGCUAAAACAGCUAUCAUGCGAGAACGAUUAACUAGAAGCUAGCAGGUGGUGUCUGGUCAUGCUGUUGUAAUUAGGGUAGUUGGGUUUGCUUCCAAACUGCAAUAAGAUUCCUUCCUAAGCAUAGUUGUUUAGAUUUUGACAGAAUAAGUUUCCAAAUUACAGGUUUGUUCAAAUACUGCGUAUUCAGAACAGGGGGUCUCUUUCUUUGAAAUCUUACGUUUGCUACCUCUGUUAUCUUCUUUUCAUCCCUAUAGUGCAUACAAUUAAUAUCAGACAUGAAAUAGUAUAGUUAACCCAAAUUUGUAAACACAACAUUAAACAUUUGAGUACAUAUAACAUACACCACAAAAAUUUGAAGGUUUGAGUCCAAAUUUACACCAAAUAUUUUUAUAUAGCCAAAUCUUCACUGAUCAAUAUAGAGGAAGAGCUUAAAACAGUCAUCUUCAUCGUUCCUCCCCAAUUUGAUCUCCUAGGCAGAUAAGCCUCACUCUGAUCCUCAUAAUCUUCACAAAGUGGCAGAUAGAGACAUGUCUUCCAUUGAUGCUUGUGUGCCUACUUUACAUGCUUGUAUCCAAGAGUAGACAUCCGUUGUCUCAAGGAAUUUAAUUAUCUAACAUUUGUUCUAACAGAUGAAGUGCAUGUCGUUAGAGUUGGUUGCAUGUACUAUAUAUGUGGACAUGUGAGCACGUGUUAACUUGGUUUUUAAUAUUUACCUUCCCAUCUUUGGACAUGUGAGCAUGGUAUUGUAAUGCAGUUCUUCAACGAAUGGCCCACAAUAGUGCUUGCCCUUUUGAACUCAGCCAUAUUCAAAAUCAUCACAUGCUCACAUAUUCAGUAAGGAAAGCAAUAGAUUGACAAUUAACUUAUUUCGAAAACAGUGGAUUGUGCUUCUUCAGUUCACCAUCAUAUUCAAUUUUGUGAUUGUAUGCUGCUGUUACAUGGUAUUGGUAAAAAAUUCCUUCAAGUGUUCAUGGUAUUUUUAAUUUAGCAUUCAUGGUUGAAAAUGAUAAGCUAAUGCUUUGUAGCUCAUACGUGAGCUGUAGUGUCGUCCUGCAUUUAACAAAUGUUAAGGACAAUUUUAAGUGCAAAGUUACAAUAUUAUCAACAUUUUGCCAUCAUGUUUUUCUUCUCUUUGCAUGUGAAUUUUUUUGUUCAAUAAGAUACAUGUAUCCUUCACAACCGAUAUUGUUAUGUGAGUGGUCUAAGUUUUUUAAUCCUUCCAGUAGUAGCCAUAACUUACAAAUCUUCCACUGAUGAUUACAGAGGACCACGAAGGGCUUGCAUAUUGCACUGGAUACUUCAGCUUGCAGCAGGUGUUGUGAAGAGUUUCAGUGCACUUCGUAGUUCAUGGAUCAAGAAUUUCAUUCUGGCUUUUGCGUCUUCGGUGUUCUCUUUCUAUUUUGAGACGUUGUUUGUGUUGGGGCAUGAGAAAAUUUGUGUGUUUUUAAGGGCUUAUGUGCUAUUACUAUUCUCUCUAUGGUGUACGAAUCUUUAAAGUGAAUAUGAUCUUUGUAUUGGUUUAGUUGUGUAUUGGUUAUUGAUAAAAUUUUUGUGAGAUAUUGAGGUUAAGAUAAUAUGUAUUGUUCGUUUUCGUGCAAGCAUUGUGCACUAAUAUUUUAUUUCUCUAAAUUGCUUCAGUUGCUCUACCUGUUUUAGAGGAUUCAUCUUUAGAUGGGUUGAAUGUUGUCAUAAUACUUAUCCAUAUGUAAGUAAUGUAGAAAUCAUGCCACAACAUAUAUCCUCGCAACAUAAAAGAUAAAAUGGUUAUAUUUGUGAGUUAAAAUAAUUUUGAUAGUCACAACUCAUUGUCCCCUUAUGACAGGCUUAGGAUCUCCUUUUUAUAAUUUUCACCCUGCAAUACAAAAUUAUUCUAUGGAGGUCAUGAUACAUCGUCAUAUAUUGUAUUACCAACUUAGGCUGAGAUCUCUGAUAAGAAAAAGUACCCACAACUGUACAAGAUGGUUAUAAAGCAUAUGAUGCAUGGACCGUGCGGGUUGCUAAAUCCUAAAUGCCCAUGCACUAAGGGUCAUCCUUCAUGCAAACAUACAAAAGACUUAUCAAUAUCUCUACAAAGGAAUAUAUUAGUGUACGAUUGUCGAUAUAUUGUUUGUUUUCAUGUAAUUGUUGUGCACUCGCGUUUUAUUAAUAAUUUGUGAGUCGUCGCAAAUCGUCGCAACGCAGAGACACCGAACUAUCAUAUAUAUAGGUCUGCAUGAUAUUGAUGGUUGCAAUGUAGUGGUAAAACAGGUAGAUUAAAAUAACAAAAUGUAUAUGUAUAGCCAGGAUCACCAAUGAAUUACAAAAUCUUUUUUCAUAACAAUAUAACACAUUUAUAUAUAAGUUAUCAUGAUAUUAAUAUGUUCCCAUUGCAACGCACGGGAACUAACCUAGUAAUUAAUUAAUUUAUUACCUCCUUUCGACGAACCAGCCGGCACCAAAAGAUGGAUCACCGUGCACGGAGCGUGCGUCCGUUGCGGGAAACGACGGGGAUCUAGGCGACGCCGUGACGGUGAUGCUCCCGUUCACGUUUCGCAGCUUUCGCUGCACCCCUUUGAUUC
RNAcentral lists this long non-coding RNA (3986 nucleotides) under Zea mays. Its description in RNAcentral is "long non-coding RNA (ZMAY_LNC002250)". The record is from RNAcentral. Lineage: Eukaryota; Viridiplantae; Streptophyta; Magnoliopsida; Poales; Poaceae.